Molecule: ribosomal RNA, 473 nt
Filed under: uncultured bacterium
Lineage: Bacteria
Description: SSU rRNA
Rfam family: Bacterial small subunit ribosomal RNA
Source: RNAcentral
AGGACGAACGCUGGCGGCGUGCCUAACACAUGCAAGUCGAACGGGGCCCGCAAGGGUUCAGUGGCGAACGGGUGCGUAACACGUGAAGAACUUGUCCAUCGGCGGGGGAUAGCCGGCCCAACGGCCGGGUAAUACCGCGUACGUCGGCGAGGGCGCAUGCCCAUGCCGGGAAAGCAGCAAUGCACCGAUGGAGAGCUUCGCGGCCUAUCAGCUAGUUGGCGGGGUAAUGGCCCACCAAGGCAACGACGGGUAGCUGGUCUGAGAGGAUGAUCAGCCACAUUGGGACUGAGACACGGCCCAGACUCCUACGGGAGGCAGCAGUGGGGAAUAUUGCGCAAUGGGCGAAAGCCUGACGCAGCGACGCCGCGUGUGGGAUGACGGCCUUCGGGUUGUAACCACUGUCGCGAGGGACGAACAAAUGACGGUACCUCGAAAGGAAGCACCGGCUAACUCUGCGCCAGCAGCCGCGGUAA